Molecule: unclassified non-coding RNA, 100 nt
Filed under: Mitchella repens
Lineage: Eukaryota; Viridiplantae; Streptophyta; Magnoliopsida; Gentianales; Rubiaceae
Description: partial external transcribed spacer
Source: RNAcentral
CUCUAUUUGCCCAUAAAUUGGCGUCACACGCCACAUUCGAACGACGUUUGGCGUCGCACUGACGAUGUGCGUCUUGCGACCCGAUGUCCGUGAGGAAUGC